GUUAACCAGUUUGUUCUGGGGAUUCCUGUUUCUGUCUUCCUUCCUCCUGCAAUUACAGGAAGGCUGCUACACCCAUGCAGCUUCUGUGUGGCCGCUAGUGAUCUGACUGCCAGUCCCCAUGCUUGCCUGGUGAGCACACUUCCACUUUGAGAACUUGGAAGCUGAGUUUGUGAAGUGUACACAAGCAUGCCUGCCAAGAUGCCAGACCUCAGCACAGUGGUGAGCAGCAUGUGGGCAGUUAAAACCACUGAAAGGUUCUGAUGCCCAUGAAGGAAUGGUCUUGCAAAGCAAAAAGCAAGCAGACAAAGAGCAAAAGUGUUCUUCAUCCAUGGCCUUUUUGCAGACUUCCACCAGGUCAUGUUUAAACUAUGGCCCAGAUUAAAUGUGUAUCUUCCCACUUCAAAAGAUCUGGAUUAAAGUUUUAGCUUCCUAUCUCAGAA
This is a long non-coding RNA of Rattus norvegicus (Norway rat), 440 nucleotides long. RefSeq lists it as uncharacterized. The record is from RefSeq and is a predicted model, not a curated record. Lineage: Eukaryota; Metazoa; Chordata; Mammalia; Rodentia; Muridae.